AUUGAACGCUGGCGGCAGGCCUAACACAUGCAAGUCGAGCGGAUGAAGGGGGCUUGCUCCUGGACUCAGCGGCGGACGGGUGAGUAAUGCCUAGGAGUCUGCCUGGCCGUGGGGGAUAACGUCCGGAUACGGGCGCUAGUACCGCAUCCGUCCUGAGGGAGAAAGUGGGGGAUCUUCGGACCUCACGCUAUCAGAUGAGCCUAGGUCGGAUCAGCUAGUUGGUGGGGUAAAGGCAGACCAAGGCGACGAUCCGUAACUGGUCUCAGAGGAUGAUCAGCCACACUGGAACAGAGACACGGUCCAGACUCCAACGGGGGGCCACGGGGGGGAAUAUUGGACGAUGCGCCAAAGCCUAAUCUAGCCCAACCGCGUGUCGCAAGAAGGUCUUCGGAAUGAAAAGCACUUUAAGCUAGGAGGAAGGGCAGUAAGUUAAUAACUUGCUAUUUUGACGUUACCAACAGAAUAAGCGCCGGCUAACUUCGUG
Molecule: ribosomal RNA, 484 nt
Filed under: uncultured bacterium
Lineage: Bacteria
Description: partial 16S ribosomal RNA
Rfam family: Bacterial small subunit ribosomal RNA
Source: RNAcentral